RNAcentral lists this ribosomal RNA (497 nucleotides) under uncultured bacterium. Its description in RNAcentral is "partial 16S ribosomal RNA". It matches the Rfam family "Bacterial small subunit ribosomal RNA", at positions 28 to 507 of the family's 1533-position model. The record is from RNAcentral.
GAUGAACGCUGGCGGCGUGCCUAAUACAUGCAAGUCGAGCGAACGGACGAGAAGCUUGCCUCUCUGAUGUUAGCGGCGGACGGGUGAGUAACACGUGGAUAACCUACCUAUAAGACUGGGAUAACUUCGGGAAACCGUAGCUAAUACCGGAUAAUAUUUUGAACCGCAUGGUUCAAAAGUGAAAGACGGUCUUGCUGUCACUUAUAGAUGGAUCCGCGCUGCAUUAGCUAGUUGGUAAGGUAACGGCUUACCAAGGCAACGAUGCAUAGCCGACCUGAGAGGGUGAUCGGCCACACUGGAACUGAGACACGGUCCAGACUCCUACGGGAGGCAGCAGUAGGGAAUCUUCCGCAAUGGGCGAAAGCCUGACGGAGCAACGCCGCGUGAGUGAUGAAGGUCUUCGGAUCGUAAAACUCUGUUAUUAGGGAAGAACAUAUGUGUAAGUAACUGUGCACAUCUUGACGGUACCUAAUCAGAAAGCCACGGCUAACUACGUG